Molecule: ribosomal RNA, 406 nt
Filed under: uncultured bacterium
Lineage: Bacteria
Description: partial 16S ribosomal RNA
Rfam family: Bacterial small subunit ribosomal RNA
Source: RNAcentral
AUUGAACGCUGGCGGCAGGCCUAACACAUGCAAGUCGAACGAGUGGCGGAAGGGUGAGUAAUGUAUGGGAAACUGCCCGAUGGAGGGGGAUAACUACUGGAAACGGUAGCUAAUACCGCAUACCAUCGGAUGUGCCCAGAUGGGGUUAGCUAGUUGGUGGGGUAAAGGCUCACCAGGGCGACGAUCCGUAGCUGGUUUGAUAGGACGACCAGCCACACUGGGACUGAGACACGGCCCAGACUCCUACGGGAGGCAGCAGUGGGGAAUUUUGGACAAUGGGGGAAACCCUGAUCCAGCCAUCCCGCGUGUAUGAAGAAGGCCUUCGGGUUGUAAAGUACUUUCAGCGAGGAGGCGUUACUCGCAGAAGAAGCACCGGCUAACUCCGUGCCAGCAGCCGCGGUAAUUC